GUUAAAGUAGCAGAGCGCGGUUACUGCCGAAGGCCUAAGCCCUUCUUACAGAGGUUCAAAUCCUCUCUCUAACU
RNAcentral lists this transfer RNA (74 nucleotides) under Chlorurus sordidus (daisy parrotfish). Its description in RNAcentral is "tRNA-Leu(UUR)". It matches the Rfam family "tRNA". From Rfam's summary of the family: Transfer RNA (tRNA) molecules are approximately 80 nucleotides in length. Their secondary structure includes four short double-helical elements and three loops (D, anti-codon, and T loops). The record is from RNAcentral. Lineage: Eukaryota; Metazoa; Chordata; Actinopteri; Labriformes; Labridae. RNAcentral also lists the same sequence under 1 other name.